AUUGAACGCUGGCGGCAGGCCUAACACAUGCAAGUCGAGCGGAUGAGAGGAGCUUGCUCCUUGAUUUAGCGGCGGACGGGUGAGUAAUGCCUAGGAAUCUGCCUGGUAGUGGGGGAUAACGUUCCGAAAGGAACGCUAAUACCGCAUACGUCCUACAGGAGAAAGCAGGGGACCUUCGGGCCUUGCGCUAUCAGAUGAGCCUAGGUCGGAUUAGCUAGUUGGUGAGGUAAUGGCUCACCAAGGCGACGAUCCGUAACUGGUCUGAGAGGAUGAUCAGUCACACUGGAACUGAGACACGGUCCAGACUCCUACGGGAGGCAGCAGUGGGGAAUAUUGGACAAUGGGCGAAAGCCUGAUCCAGCCAUGCCGCGUGUGUGAAGAAGGUCUUCGGAUUGUAAAGCACUUUAAGUUGGGAGGAAGGGCAGUAAGCUAAUACCUUGCUGUUUUGACGUUACCGACAGAAUAAGCACCGGCUAACUUCGUG
RNAcentral lists this ribosomal RNA (484 nucleotides) under uncultured bacterium. RNAcentral describes it as "partial 16S ribosomal RNA". It matches the Rfam family "Bacterial small subunit ribosomal RNA", at positions 30 to 507 of the family's 1533-position model. The record is from RNAcentral.